UAUUGUUUAUAUUUUAUUUAUUAAAAAAAUAUUCUGAAUUGUAUCAAUACUGUUAACGCGGAAAAAUUGUUGUUGACCCAAAUUCGAUACCGCGUACCUAUUAACUAAAAAACUGCGCCUUAAGUACAAAAAAAUCAGACAUGUGAUAAGCAAAAAUCAGUAUCUUGGAAGAAAAAAAUUAAUAUUUAUUUGAUUAUUUCAAGACUAUAAUUGAUAAGCAUUAUGGAUAAAAAACAUUGACCUAUAACUGAUAGGUAAAAAAGUGAGUGAUAAAAAGUUAAAAAGAUUAAAAAUUUGUUUUUUUAAUAUGCCAAGCGUCUACUGCUCACGUAUUUUUUAAAAGUAAAAUAAACUACAUUUUGAAUUGUAACUAGUAGUACUGUGUUGUUUUAUUGUUAUUGCCAUUUUUGAACGGUUUUUUUUGUUGUUACAUGUAUUUCAUCAAAAUGGUUAUGAUGUGCUCAAUUCCACUUUGUAAAAUUAUUGCAUCAAAACAACACAAUGUUGAACUAAACAAGUUUCCAGCAUCAGAAGAACAUUGGCGUAUAUGGCUAGACCGUAUUAUGGCAUAUUAUCCUAAUUUUAAAAUUAGCAAAUUCUAAACUGGAUGUAGUAAACAUUUUGCUGCAAUUGAUUUUUUGAAAACCACUAGAUCUACAUCCUUUUCACUACGUAAAGAUGCAGUACCCUCAUUAUUCGACGUUGAUGAAUGUGUAUAUAUUUUCAAUAAUGGUGAACUUGAUGGUGAUUCAGAUAUUACUAGCCCAUCUAUUGUUGAUGUUAUGGAAAUUUCCAUAGGUGUAACUACACCUAUUACUGUUGAUGGUAUGGAAGUUACACCAUUAAAGAUGAAUUAUAGUUUUGGUAUUGUUGAAGUUAUAGAAGUUACACCAACAUAAUAUUCAUUUUGUAAAGAUGCAGUUUCCCUGUUGUUUGAUGAUGAAGAAUGUGAGCCAGUUUUCAAUGAUUGUGAACUCUAUGGUGAUUUAGAUAUUACUAGCCUAUCUUUUGUCGAUGUCAUGGAAACUUCCAUUUUGGAUAUUCAAGUACCAGUAACUCCAAAAGAAUGACGAAUACCUCCAAUAAGCCCAUGGAAAGAAAAUGGGUAUUUGGUGAUUUUAAAGCUGAUGACCUGAAUACUCCCAAAAAACGCAAACGAUAUUGGGAUAUAUCACAAUAAACUGUAUCCAAAUACAAAUAAAAUAAAAUUGUUGCAUUAAAAGAAUACGUGGUUGACCAAGAAAGUUAAAAUUUUAUGUCAAUUGAUCGAUUAUCUCAAAGAAAAGAAAAAAAUUUCAGAAAACUGUUUUUCUUAUCGUAUUAAGUAUUAAGUAAAAUAUUAAAAAUUGUAUAAAUAUAUAAUGGUACACUUAUAGGGCUGAGAUUUUCAUUCCCUAAUAAAAUUGCUUGAGAAUGCUCUAAAAAUUAUGAAUAAUGCACUAAAAAG
This is a long non-coding RNA of Acyrthosiphon pisum (pea aphid), 1447 nucleotides long. RefSeq lists it as uncharacterized. Lineage: Eukaryota; Metazoa; Arthropoda; Insecta; Hemiptera; Aphididae. The transcript has 5 exons. The record is from RefSeq and is a predicted model, not a curated record.